Molecule: unclassified non-coding RNA, 105 nt
Organism: Fundulus heteroclitus (mummichog)
Lineage: Eukaryota; Metazoa; Chordata; Actinopteri; Cyprinodontiformes; Fundulidae
Rfam family: Y RNA
About the family: Y RNAs are components of the Ro ribonucleoprotein particle (Ro RNP), in association with Ro60 and La proteins.
Source: Ensembl
GGUUGGUCCGAAGGUGGUGAGGUUUAAAUUGAUUGCUACAGUGAGUAACAGAACUUCUACGUUUCUUCUCUCCCCUCCCUCACCGCCGGUAUUGACUAGCCUUUU